AUCACUAGGACAUAAUCCCUAUAAAGGUUUAUGUGGAGAACUACCGUGGGAUGACGGCGAGCGUGGCGUUGGAGGCUAAAAGGAGUGGGUAUGUGUGUAGUAAGGGGGUAGGUUGGUAGUGCAUGGUUAGGGUGAUAAGGUGUACCUUGGUGGAGAUUGAGCGACGUGGGUGUAGGGAGUGGGAACGUCUAUGUGAGAGUGCGGACGUGUGUGGUGGCGUGGCGACCAGGGGAGCCGUAGGGGGUAUGUGUGUGUGUAGUGGAUGGUGUGUAAGGCUAUGGGUGUGGGGUUUUUGACUUUUACUAGGAAGUCGACCAAGAGGUUGACUUUGGAACAAUGCUGAACAUGAAAUAGAUCGGUAUCUAUAAGUCUCGGCUUCGAGAAGUAGGGAUACU
RNAcentral lists this ribosomal RNA (395 nucleotides) under Enterocytozoon bieneusi. RNAcentral describes it as "bacterial LSU rRNA". Lineage: Eukaryota; Fungi; Microsporidia; Enterocytozoonidae. The record is from RNAcentral.